Molecule: long non-coding RNA, 593 nt
Filed under: Ricinus communis (castor bean)
Lineage: Eukaryota; Viridiplantae; Streptophyta; Magnoliopsida; Malpighiales; Euphorbiaceae
Description: long non-coding RNA (RCOM_LNC002724)
Source: RNAcentral
UGUUGGUCCUAGCCAUUGUCGUUGUGAUUUUGGUUUUGAAGACUCAUGUCACGAGGGGGCUUGUACAUAUGGCGGCUCUAGCAGAAUCCAUGGCUACGGUUUCGUCGGCUACUGUGGCAGAGUUAUUGGCAAUUCGAGAGGGUCUUCGUUUUGCAAUUAAUUGUGAUUUAUCUGAUGUGGCUGUGGAGUCUAAAUGGAGAAUAUGGUGUUGGCAUGAUUCGUGAUAGGGUUCGGACUGUCGGAGUACCAUCUUAUUAUUAGUAACAUUCACAUGCUUGCUGAUUUAUUUAGUUUUAUUUCUUUUGUUCACAUUCGUAGGACUUGUAAUGAUGUUGCUCAUUCUUUAGCUAGAUUUGAUAUUAGACAUGACUCUUGAAUAGGUUUGGCUUGAGAAUGAAAGCCCCUUUAUACCUUCUUUUAGCUGAUAUGUCUAUUCGGUAAUGAGCUAUAAUGCUUGCCGUUGGUAUAUACCUUUCUUUUUCUUUUCUUUUUUUUCCUUCUAAGGUUUUUCCUAAUGGGUUUUUACUUGGAAGGUUUUUUAUCCAUGGUUCAGGUUUCUGUUUAAUCUUUUUUGAAUGAAAGUGAUUAUUUUU